GCACUGUGAGGUGUGCUGGAGGUAUCGGAAGUGAGAAUGUUGACAUGAGUAGCGACAAAGCGGGUGAGAGACCCGCUCGCCGAAAAUCCAAGGGUUCCUGCGUAAAGCUAAUCUGCGCAGGGUUAGCCGGCCCCUAAGGCGAGGCCGAAAGGCGUAGUCGAUGGGAACCACGUUAAUAUUCGUGGGCCUGGUG
This 193-nucleotide ribosomal RNA is filed under the name Haptolina brevifila. RNAcentral describes it as "partial Bacterial large subunit ribosomal RNA". It matches the Rfam family "Bacterial large subunit ribosomal RNA", at positions 1258 to 1450 of the family's 2925-position model. The record is from RNAcentral. Lineage: Eukaryota; Haptophyta; Prymnesiales; Prymnesiaceae.